This is a non-coding RNA of Triticum aestivum (bread wheat), 136 nucleotides long. NCBI's taxonomy places the organism in Eukaryota, Viridiplantae, Streptophyta, Magnoliopsida, Poales, Poaceae. The record is from Rfam.
GAAGUACUCCCUCCGUUCGGAAAUACUUGUCAUCAAAAUGAAUAAAAGAGGAUGUAUCUAAAUGUAUUUUAGUUCUAGAUAUAUCCUUUUUGUCCAUGUUGAUGACGAGUAUUUUCGGACGGAGGUAUCGUAACUC